This 267-nucleotide ribosomal RNA is filed under the name uncultured bacterium. Its description in RNAcentral is "partial 16S ribosomal RNA". It matches the Rfam family "Bacterial small subunit ribosomal RNA", at positions 1234 to 1500 of the family's 1533-position model. The record is from RNAcentral.
CGUAAACAGAGGGAAGCGAGCCUGCGAGGGGGAGCGAAUCCCAAAAAUAACGUCCCAGUUCGGAUUGUAGUCUGCAACCCGACUACAUGAAGCUGGAAUCGCUAGUAAUCGCGGAUCAGAAUGCCGCGGUGAAUACGUUCCCGGGUCUUGUACACACCGCCCGUCACACCAUGGGAGUUGGGAAUGCCCGAAGCCGGUGACCUAACCGAAAGGGAGGAGCCGUCGAAGGCAGGCUUGAUAACUGGGGUGAAGUCGUAACAAGGUAGC